This 270-nucleotide ribosomal RNA is filed under the name uncultured bacterium. Its description in RNAcentral is "partial 16S ribosomal RNA". It matches the Rfam family "Bacterial small subunit ribosomal RNA", at positions 28 to 291 of the family's 1533-position model. The record is from RNAcentral.
GACGAACGCUGGCGGCGUGCCUAACACAUGCAAGUCGCACGGGACCUGGGGGCAACUCUAGGUUCAGUGGCAGACGGGUGCGUAACACGUGAGAAACUUGUCCGACGGUGGGGGAUAGCCGGCCCAACGGCCGGGUAAUACCGCAUACGAUCGUUCGGGGGCAUCCCUGGGCGAUGAAAGCAGCCGCAAGGUUGCGCCGAUGGAGAGUCUCGCGGCCUAUCAGCUAGUUGGCGGGGUAACGGCCCACCAAGGCAACGACGGGUAGCUGGU